CCUCUAGUGGACAGCAGCCAUAUCACAGACUGUUGUCUCUUUGCUGAAGAUGAAUCAAGAAUUAUGGUUUAUUGGCAGAUUUUACAGUGUAAAAAAGGACUUUGUAAAUUUGCAGAAGCCUAUUGGAAAAAAUUUGCAACUGGUUUCCAGACACAAAGCCAUUAAGCUGGAGUUAUCCUGGUUUGUCAGCCCUGCAGAGGAGCGGCUUGGGAAUUCCCCUGGGACAUCACCCUGAAAUCAGUGCAUUCAAUCAACUCAGCCUUAAAGAAUGGGUUGGUCUUGGACUUCACUUCCAACUUUGUGGAAACAGUUUGGGGAAGAACCCUUCUUGUUCCAGCAUGACUGAGCCCCAGUGACUAUAGCAACUCCAUAAAGGCCAGACUGGGUGAGUUUGAUGUGGAAGAACCUGACUGGCCCUCACAAAGCCUUGAUCUCAACCCCAUCGACACCUUUGGGAUGAUCUAGAACAGAGAUUGUGAGUCAGACACUCUUGUCCAACAUCAACUUCUGACCUCACAAAUGCUCUUCUGGAUGAAUAGACAUAAAUUCCCACAGACUUUCUCCAACAUCUUGUAGAAGCUUCCCAGAAGAGUGGAAGCUGUUAGAGCUGCAAAGGGGGAUCAACUAAACAUUAAUGCCUAUGGAUUUAGAAUGGGAUUCAUAAAAGCUCCUGUAGGUAUAAUGUGGAGGUGUCCCAAUACAGUUACUUACUGUAACUAAUAAUUUGUUUAUUAUUAUUUUUUCCAUCAUUUGUUUAUCACUUAUCAUUGAGUUUCUCAUUACUGUGAUUGUAUAAUAAGACAUGUUGUACCGACUUUGUACCGUAUCACCCACCGAAACAAGAUCAGUGUAAACACUUUUGCCCUCCAUGUAUUUAACGAGCGCUGCCCCCUCUGAGAGUGCAGGAUGUAAGCGAUGUGAGUGACAGAUGAAGUGUUUGGGGGCUGAGUGCUGGAAUAAGACCUGGCGCUGAAAGCCCAGCUGCUCCCUCGGUCAGAUACCGGCCUGCAUGUGGUGACCAGGUGGCGUCUGCCUACCGUCAUGCACAGACAGGACACGAGAGCUCAGCCAACACGCACACUCCUCCUCCACCUCUGUCACAAAAACAGGCCCGUUCCACUUACCUACCCUGGAGAUGAUGGAUUGAUGGAGCUCUGAGUGGAACAGGCCUCAGUCUGGAGUAAACAAGCGCUAGGUUCGGACUCCUGUGUUGAAGAGUGAGAGUGAGGGGUUAUUUUCCAAUUUUACACCUCUGCUAGAAAGAAAGACCAGACUGUGUUCGGGACCCGGACAGGAUAAAAGAUCUCGGCCCACAAAUUUGAGUCAGAAUUGGUUUAAAAAUGAAUGUUCAAUCAAAGUCAAAGUCAGCUUUAGUACCAUUUCUUCUCAUCACAGAUGACAAGUUUCUACAGGACGCUGUGUUACAUUUAACACAGACAAUAAACAAGGAACACAGGCAAACUACACAAUAAAGCUGUCGGUACAGUACACAGUCACUACAACACAAACACUCAGCACAGCACAGAAGAAAGUAGACAUGAGUAAAACAGACCAGCUACAAUCAUUGCUGCUGGGAUCACCACCUAGUUUAUCAUAUUUGUUUUUAAUUAACUAUUUUUUUUAUUAACAUUUUAAAAUCCCAGUCUUAUUACACACUAAGGCUUAUUAUUCAGUAAAUACUUCAAUACAAAGUACUGACCAUUUAAGGAGUAAACAUUAGCAGUAUUAACAAAUACAAAGUAUUCAGAUAAUAUAUAUAUAUAUAUAUCGCUGUUGUCGGGACAAAACCUUGUAUAUCCAUUUUUGAUGUUUUUCAGUUUUGACAUAAUUUGA
Pygocentrus nattereri (red-bellied piranha) is the source of this 1833-nucleotide long non-coding RNA. RefSeq lists it as uncharacterized. NCBI's taxonomy places the organism in Eukaryota, Metazoa, Chordata, Actinopteri, Characiformes, Serrasalmidae. The transcript has 3 exons. The record is from RefSeq and is a predicted model, not a curated record.